Molecule: long non-coding RNA, 1985 nt
Filed under: Helicoverpa zea (corn earworm)
Lineage: Eukaryota; Metazoa; Arthropoda; Insecta; Lepidoptera; Noctuidae
Description: uncharacterized LOC124639733
Source: RNAcentral
GUGGAAUGUGGCAACAAGUCUAUAGUUUCGUGUACGUAAGUCUGUGGUCCACCUGGCCAGUGUGACACAGUUCAAUCAGUGUAUGUUUAGUGAUAGCACCGUCGCGUGCGCACCAACUGUUUACAUUUUUUAUCGAGUUUUGUUGUAUUUUGACAAGUACUAGCUCAAAAUGUUUAUGUCUUACGAAGUGUUCGCGACUUUUGGGAUAUCGGCUAUCCUGUCCUUCACGCUAUCAGUAAUCCUCCUACUGAUAGUGGCAGCCAAGAGGGGGUUACUCCGAGUGGGUGCCAGUAGCAAGCCAGCCAAGUUCAACCCUCUACUGCUGCCUAACACUACGCUCACACCAAAGAUCGUUGAAAUGACGCCUUUGAAAGACCCCGCGUAUUAAAUGACUUACAGGCCUCGUCAAGUAUCUUUACUACUCUGAAGUUGGCUAUAAGUUGCUUUAACAGUGUCCAAUUGUCGAAUAACUCUGAAGGUAGCUAUUAAAUGCUUCCUGAUAGUGUUUUGUUUGUUAAUGUUGACAGUUGUGUCUAAUAGCCAACUUCAGAGCAGUGCUGUAUAGACAGAAGGUAAACCUAUACGAAUCUGUCAAAUGUUACCAAUCGAACAUCAACCUUCCACUAUUGUGAUAAGGUUGAAAAUCUACUGAAGGCAUUUGACAGAUUAAGGUAGGUUGACGUGCUGUAUGUACAUAAUUUGUGCCCUUAUUACGUAAACGAUAGAUAUCCAAUUGUUAUGAUUUAGAAAGAAAUGUUGAAAGUCACAACUGCGCAAUAGAGAUAACAUUGAAUUGUGGUAAUAAGUAUUGCAAUUGUCAUCGAAGGAUAUUAUGUUAAUUACGUAAUUAGAGUGCUUGUGAUCAUAAUGUUUUUACUUUAAAUAUUGUCUGUGUGAGAGUGACAUGAAGAUAUAACGACAUAUCAAGCUUAAAUACUUUAGGAAUUAAUUAAUCCUGUUUUGGUUAAUCAUGAUACGCCCCCCAAGAAUUUAUAGGGGGCGUAUCGUAUCAUAAAGAGUGUACAUCUGUACAUGAUAUUGCAUAUCAGCUAAAACUUUCAUAUACUGCUGUAUGUUUGUAGGUAUAUGUCUUCACUUAUCUUUCGAACUGCAAUUAAAAUCAUAUAAGGUGUAAAAAUACAUAGAAUUUAAACCAAAUUCAUUCUUAGUUAAGAUUAUGAAAUACAAAGUACUUAAAGUAAAAUUUUCCGUCCACAAUCGGAUUUGUAAGUCACAAAAAUAUACAUUCCAUUUUAUUAUAAUUUUGAAAAAAAGUCCAACAUUAAAUAGUCCAUGUUACCUUGCUAUAUAAUAUAACUAGUCGAAUAAUGUAUUUCAGUUUUACAAAGUUCUUUUGAAGAGCAUUUUAUUUUGUUCUAGAAUCUCGUAAUAUUUCAGAAAGUAUGUAUAUAGUGUAAAAGCUUUAUGAAUUUAUUAAUUUGAUGAAAACAUCAAAUACUAAUUAGAUGUGCGGUUACUGUGGUCAGCUAAUAUGUUAUUUCAAAAUCAAACUGUUUAAAGUUGUUUUGUAUUUUUGAAAAUAAGAAAUUACGUUGUAAAUUAUACCUAUUUCUAUCUUAAUCUUUGGCUUUGUAAACGAAUUACAAAAGCGUGUCAUUUGUAAAAAUAAUUGUAACCGCAUAAAAUUGACUACAAUUCGUUCAAGAGCCAUCAGUACUUACCAAAGUUAAUUUGCAUUAACAAGAACUAAUUAUAACUUGUACUUAACGAUCGCCGGAAUAACUUAACUUAAUCGCUUAAUCGUCAUACAAAUUAGUUCGUAAGUGCCAUAUAAGUAAUGAUAUUGAUAUAAUUGUAGAGUAGGUGUUUAUGAGCCGGCUCUAGCAGGACCUGCCUACAUAAUUAAUGAAACAUUCGAAUAUAAUUUUGUUAUAAAAUUAGGGCCUUUUAUGUCCUUUGGUCCUUAGUGGUCAUAAAUUAUAAUAAUAUUUAAUAAACAUUUCCAUUUUACAGAGAAAAUCCAA